UACGAGAUAAAAUUAGUGGCGAACGAGCGAGUAACGCGUACUUAACCUGCCCUCGAGCUGAGAACAACUACGGAGACGUAGCUAAUUCUCAAUAUGCUCACGACGGUGCAAUUCCGAUGUGAGGAAAGAUUUAUCACUCGGGGAGGGGGGUGCGUCCUAUCAGGUAGUUGGUGGGGUAAUAGCCUACCAAGCCUAUGACGGGUAGCCGGUCUGAGAGGAUGUCCGGCCGCGAUGGAACUGAGAUACGGUCCAUACUCCUACGGGAGGCAGCAGUGGGGAAUUUUGCACAAUGGACGCAAGUCUGAUGCAGCGAUUCCGCGUGGAGGAUGAAGCAUUACGGUGUGUAAACUCCUUUUCUGGUGGAAGACGAAUGACGGUACACCAGGAAUAAGAGACGGCUAACUACGUG
Molecule: ribosomal RNA, 409 nt
Filed under: uncultured bacterium
Lineage: Bacteria
Description: bacterial SSU rRNA
Rfam family: Bacterial small subunit ribosomal RNA
Source: RNAcentral